Molecule: ribosomal RNA, 1120 nt
Filed under: Vibrio parahaemolyticus
Lineage: Bacteria; Pseudomonadati; Pseudomonadota; Gammaproteobacteria; Vibrionales; Vibrionaceae
Description: partial 23S ribosomal RNA
Rfam family: Bacterial large subunit ribosomal RNA
Source: RNAcentral
UCGUAAGAUGACGUAUACGGUGUGACGCCUGCCCGGUGCCGGAAGGUUAAUUGAUGGGGUUAGACUUCGGUCGAAGCUCUUGAUCGAAGCCCCGGUAAACGGCGGCCGUAACUAUAACGGUCCUAAGGUAGCGAAAUUCCUUGUCGGGUAAGUUCCGACCUGCACGAAUGGCGUAAUGAUGGCCACGCUGUCUCCACCCGAGACUCAGUGAAAUUGAAAUCGCUGUGAAGAUGCAGUGUACCCGCGGCUAGACGGAAAGACCCCGUGAACCUUUACUACAGCUUGGCACUGAACAUUGACCCUACAUGUGUAGGAUAGGUGGGAGGCUUUGAAGCAGGUACGCCAGUAUCUGUGGAGCCGUCCUUGAAAUACCACCCUUGUAGUGUUGAUGUUCUAACGUCGACCCCUAAUCGGGGUUGCGGACAGUGCCUGGUGGGUAGUUUGACUGGGGCGGUCUCCUCCCAAAGAGUAACGGAGGAGCACGAAGGUGGGCUAAUCACGGUUGGACAUCGUGAGGUUAGUGCAAUGGCAUAAGCCCGCUUGACUGCGAGAAUGACAAUUCGAGCAGGUGCGAAAGCAGGUCAUAGUGAUCCGGUGGUUCUGAAUGGAAGGGCCAUCGCUCAACGGAUAAAAGGUACUCCGGGGAUAACAGGCUGAUACCGCCCAAGAGUUCAUAUCGACGGCGGUGUUUGGCACCUCGAUGUCGGCUCAUCACAUCCUGGGGCUGAAGUCGGUCCCAAGGGUAUGGCUGUUCGCCAUUUAAAGUGGUACGCGAGCUGGGUUUAGAACGUCGUGAGACAGUUCGGUCCCUAUCUGCCGUGGGCGUUGGAAGAUUGAAGGGGGCUGCUCCUAGUACGAGAGGACCGGAGUGGACGAACCUCUGGUGUUCGGGUUGUGUCGCCAGACGCAUUGCCCGGUAGCUAAGUUCGGAAUCGAUAACCGCUGAAAGCAUCUAAGCGGGAAGCGAGCCCUGAGAUGAGUCUUCCCUGAUACUUUAAGUAUCCUAAAGGGUUGUCGGAGACUACGACGUUGAUAGGUCAGGUGUGUAAGUGCUGUGAGGCAUUGAGCUAACUGAUACUAAUUGCCCGUGAGGCUUAACCAUACAACACCCAAGGGGUUU